Molecule: ribosomal RNA, 479 nt
Filed under: uncultured bacterium
Lineage: Bacteria
Description: partial 16S ribosomal RNA
Rfam family: Bacterial small subunit ribosomal RNA
Source: RNAcentral
GAUGAACGCUGGCGGCGUGCUUAACACAUGCAAGUCGAACGAAGCACUUAAGAUUGAUUCUUCGGAUGACGUCUUUUGUGACUUAGUGGCGGACGGGUGAGUAACGCGUGGGUAACCUGCCUCACACAGGGGGAUAACAGUUAGAAAUGACUGCUAAUACCGCAUAACCCGAUAGGAUCGCAUGAUCCAGACGGAAAAGAUUUAUCGGUGUGAGAUGGACCCGCGUCUGGUUAGCUAGUUGGUGAGGUAACGGCCCACCAAGGCGACGAUCAGUAGCCGGCCUGAGAGGGUGAACGGCCACAUUGGGACUGAGACACGGCCCAAACUCCUACGGGAGGCAGCAGUGGGGAAUAUUGCACAAUGGGGGAAACCCUGAUGCAGCGACGCCGCGUGAGUGAAGAAGUAUUUCGGUAUGUAAAGCUCUAUCAGCAGGGAAGAAAAUGACGGUACCUGACGAAGAAGCCCCGGCUAACUACGUG